This 585-nucleotide ribosomal RNA is filed under the name Pantoea sp. YK45(2011). Its description in RNAcentral is "bacterial SSU rRNA". It matches the Rfam family "Bacterial small subunit ribosomal RNA", at positions 830 to 1415 of the family's 1533-position model. The record is from RNAcentral. Lineage: Bacteria; Pseudomonadati; Pseudomonadota; Gammaproteobacteria; Enterobacterales; Erwiniaceae.
CCUUGAGGAGUGGCUUCCGGAGCUAACGCGUUAAGUCGACCGCCUGGGGAGUACGGCCGCAAGGUUAAAACUCAAAUGAAUUGACGGGGGCCCGCACAAGCGGUGGAGCAUGUGGUUUAAUUCGAUGCAACGCGAAGAACCUUACCUACUCUUGACAUCCACGGAAUUCGGCAGAGAUGCCUUAGUGCCUUCGGGAACCGUGAGACAGGUGCUGCAUGGCUGUCGUCAGCUCGUGUUGUGAAAUGUUGGGUUAAGUCCCGCAACGAGCGCAACCCUUAUCCUUUGUUGCCAGCGAUUCGGUCGGGAACUCAAAGGAGACUGCCGGUGAUAAACCGGAGGAAGGUGGGGAUGACGUCAAGUCAUCAUGGCCCUUACGAGUAGGGCUACACACGUGCUACAAUGGCGCAUACAAAGAGAAGCGACCUCGCGAGAGCAAGCGGACCUCAUAAAGUGCGUCGUAGUCCGGAUCGGAGUCUGCAACUCGACUCCGUGAAGUCGGAAUCGCUAGUAAUCGUGGAUCAGAAUGCCACGGUGAAUACGUUCCCGGGCCUUGUACACACCGCCCGUCACACCAUGGGAGUGGGU